RNAcentral lists this ribosomal RNA (2108 nucleotides) under marine metagenome. RNAcentral's name for it is "bacterial LSU rRNA". It matches the Rfam family "Bacterial large subunit ribosomal RNA", at positions 1 to 2147 of the family's 2925-position model. The record is from RNAcentral.
UUAAGCGACUAAGCGUAUACGGUGGAUGCCUUGGCAGUCAGAGGCGAUGAAGGACGUAGUAACUUGCGAAAAGCGUUGGCGAGCUAGUAACAAGCAUUUGAGCUAACGAUGUCCGAAUGGGGGAACCCAGCAGCAUAAGCUGUUAUCACUGCAUGAAUACAUAGUGUAGUGAGGCAAACGAGGGGAACUGAAACAUCUAAGUACCCUUAGGAAAAGAAAUCAACCGAGAUUCCCCUAGUAGCGGCGAGCGAACGGGGAUUAGCCCUUAAGUCAGAGGGGUGUUAGUGGAAUGGUCUGGAAAGUCCAGCGGCACAGGGUGAUAGCCCCGUACACGAAAACUAACCUUUGAUGAAAACGAGUAAGGCGGGACACGUGAUAUCCUGUUUGAAUAUGGGGGGACCAUCCUCCAAGGCUAAAUACUCCUGACUGACCGAUAGUGAACCAGUACCGUGAGGGAAAGGCGAAAAGAACCCCUGUGAGGGGAGUGAAAUAGAACCUGAAACCGUAUACGUACAAGCAGUGGGAGCGGUUCUUGAGACCGUGACUGCGUACCUUUUGUAUAAUGGGUCAGCGACUUACGUUUUGUAGCGAGGUUAAGCGAAUAGCGGAGCCGUAGGGAAACCGAGUGUUAACUGCGCGUUUAGUUGCAAGGCGUAGACCCGAAACCCGGUGAUCUAGCCAUGGGCAGGUUGAAGGUUGAGUAACAUCAACUGGAGGACCGAACCGACUAAUGUUGAAAAAUUAGCGGAUGACUUGUGGCUGGGGGUGAAAGGCCAAUCAAACCGGGAGAUAUCUGGUUCUCCUCGAAAGCUAUUUAGGUAGCGCCUCGGACGAACACCUUUGGGGGUAGAGCACUGUUAAGGCUAGGGGGUCAUCCCGACUUACCAACCCUUUGCAAACUCCGAAUACCAAAGAGUGCUAUCCGGGAGACAGACGGCGGGUGCUAACGUCCGUCGUCAAAAGGGAAACAACCCAGACCGUCAGCUAAGGUCCCAAAGUGUAUGUUAAGUGGGAAACGAUGUGGGAAGGCUUAGACAGCUAGGAUGUUGGCUUAGAAGCAGCCAUCAUUUAAAGAAAGCGUAAUAGCUCACUAGUCGAGUCGGCCUGCGCGGAAGAUGUAACGGGGCUAAACAUACCACCGAAGCUACGGGUGCAAUCCAUUAGGGUUGCGCGGUAGAGGAGCGUUCUGUAAGCCGUUGAAGGUGAAGGGGUAACCCACACUGGAGGUAUCAGAAGUGCGAAUGCUGACAUGAGUAACGAUAAAGGGGGUGAAAAACCCCCUCGCCGAAAGACCAAGGGUUCCUGUCCAACGUUAAUCGGGGCAGGGUGAGUCGACCCCUAAGGCGAGGCCGAAAGGCGUAGUCGAUGGGAAACAGAUUAAUAUUUCUGUACUUCCGCUAACUGCGAUGGAGAGACGGAGAAGGCUAGGCUAGCGCGGCGUUGGUAGUCCGCGUUUAAGGUGGUAGGUGGGUGACUUAGGCAAAUCCGGGUCACCAUACACUGAGAGCUGAUGACGAGUCCCCAAGGGGAUGAAGUAGUUGAUGCCAUGCUUCCAGGAAAAUCUUCUAAGCUUCAGGUUAGCGGGAAUCGUACCCCAAACCGACACAGGUGGUCGGGUAGAGAAUACCAAGGCGCUUGAGAGAACUCGGCUGAAGGAACUAGGCAAAAUGGUACCGUAACUUCGGGAGAAGGUACGCUGCUGUUGGUGAUGGGACUUGCUCCCUAAGCUGACGGCAGUCGCAGAUACCAGGUGGCUGCAACUGUUUAUCAAAAACACAGCACUGUGCAAAAUCGCAAGAUGACGUAUACGGUGUGACGCCUGCCCGGUGCCGGAAGGUUAAUUGAUUGGGUUAUCGCAAGAGAAGCUCAUGAUCGAAGCCCCGGUAAACGGCGGCCGUAACUAUAACGGUCCUAAGGUAGCGAAAUUCCUUGUCGGGUAAGUUCCGACCUGCACGAAUGGCGUAAUGAUGGCCACGCUGUCUCCAGCCGAGACUCAGUGAAGUUGAAAUUGCGGUGAAGAUGCCGUAUACCCGCGGCUAGACGGAAAGACCCCGUGAACCUUUACUAUAGCUUGGCACUGAACAUUGACCCUACAUGUGUAGGAUAGG